GCUGACCCGCGUAGCCCAAAACCUAGCAUCUCAUCACAAAACUAAGCUCGCGUCCCAUUACACGGAAAAAAAGGGCCACCUGUAAGGCCGUGUAGAACUCCCUCUCCCGGCCUGUGGCCUCCGGACAACCAGUCAACCAGAGAGGAGAGCGCGUCGCGUCGCGCGCACGAGCAGGCGCCGGAAACAUGGCCACGGCGGCGCACGCGAGACGGCUGGCGGCCUCGCGCGACGACCCGUCGGCCGCCCCGACGUCGGGGAGGUCCCAGUUCGACCUCUCGUCGGGGGCGGCCACCGCCGUGGUGUUCCUCUCCAUCAUCCUCUGCUUCAUCCUGCUCUGCACCUACUGCCGCUGCGCUCGGCAGCGCGCCAUCGCGGCCGCGCGCGGCGGCCGCGCCAUGCGCCACGGCUUCCCGAGCGCCCUCCUCCGCCCGGCCGACGGCGCGGCGCUGACCGUGGUGCGCUACGCCGACGCCGGCGCCGGCGCCAAGAAGGGGCUGCAGCCGGAGGGGGACUGCCCCGUCUGCCUCGAGGCCUUCGGCGACGACGACGGCGUCAAGGUCGUCCCGGCGUGCGGCCACGUCUUCCACGCCCCCUGCAUCGACCGGUGGCUCGACGUGCGCAACUCGUGCCCCGUCUGCCGGUGCGUCGUGGUCUGCCACUACGCCGCCCGCGCAGGCCCGGGUGCCGGCGACGACGGCGACGACCAGGAGGUCGUCCUGGAGCGCGUGGUCGCCAUGAUCGAAGCUAUAAGAGAAGAGGAGGCCGCGGCGAGGCGCGCGCCGGCGACCGCGAGGGUCCGGGGGUGAUGACGCGUACGUGCCUCGGGUUGUACAGGCACAGCUAACCUAACUGGGGGACUUUAAGAACACUGAGUUGUAUAUAUUCAAAGCUAUAUAAUGUAAUGUGAUGACUGUCAGUUUCUUUGUUCAAUAAAAAUGGCUAGGAAUUAGGCACCUUAUUUCUGAAAAUUCGGCGAAAAGCAUUCCUAAGUUUGCUGGUCUAUUACCGUGGUAGACUCCGAAGAGGCAAAACUAAUGCAAAUAUAUAAGAAAAGCACAUUUCGGAGCGCCCACCGCAUGUUUUCAAGAUCAGUUCAGUUCAGAAGCCAUGCUUCACGUUUCAGCCAAGAGGAGCAUAUCCUUGGCUUUGAACACAGGAUCCUAUCAGCUGAUCCAUACUUUCACCGAAGCUGGUGAGUGCAAGGGACAUUCGAAAGGCCGCUGUCUAAACACAAGUUCUUAUUUCUUGAUCAGCAUGCAAGCCAAGAGUUCUCCAGGCACCAAUGCAUGAACAUCAUCACAUGUGGACUGAACCAACUGUUUUCUUCAAUGAUGACCUGACUGCCAACAGUUUCAGAUUGUCCAGUCAUCCCCCAUUUCUUUCUUUGCUACUAAAGACCUCUUGUAACCAUUGCUCUGUUGGGUCCCACUGUCACAUUCAAUCAGAGAAGCUAUAUGCCAAAUUGUGUUUGACAGAAUACUGUCCUCAAAAAGCGAAUAACAAAGUAAUCGACAGACUA
Molecule: non-coding RNA, 1519 nt
Organism: Triticum urartu
Lineage: Eukaryota; Viridiplantae; Streptophyta; Magnoliopsida; Poales; Poaceae
Source: RefSeq, a predicted model, not a curated record